Molecule: long non-coding RNA, 1768 nt
Organism: Galleria mellonella (greater wax moth)
Lineage: Eukaryota; Metazoa; Arthropoda; Insecta; Lepidoptera; Pyralidae
Exons: 2
Source: RefSeq, a predicted model, not a curated record
ACAUAUAAAGCGAUAAAUGCCGCGGGUCGUGCCUAUGGGCAUUAUAUUAUACAAUGUAAAACGUAUUCUUAUCAUACUCCAGUACGAUUAAUUUCAAGGGUACAAAGUAUUACGAAAUUAUCAAUAGGUCCGGGUAAUUAGGCUGUUUCAGUUUAAAAAUAUUUUAUAAAAAGCAUCUAUGAUAAGAUAAAUUGUUUGUUGUUGUGAAAAUAAUGUACAAACAACAUCUAGAUAGAGUAAAUUUAUAUAUCUACAAUAUUUGUUUGUAUGUAAUGUAAUUUUUUUAAGUUUUAAAAUGCUUUUACUGGAAUAAUAUUUUUUAAUAUAAAACUUUCUAUAAAAAUGUACAAAUACAAAUAAGUAUGGAUGACACCGGAAUCAGCAAGCAUGUACGAGGAAAAUUAUGAAAAUAGAAGAAAGAAGAGAUGCGGGAUGGUAAGGAUUACAAGAUCACACACUGCACAACAAAUAACCACUAAGUUAGAUGAGCUAUAAUUGGAAUGUCUGCGACAUCCACCGUAUUGCCCGGACCUUGCUCCAACAGAUUACCAUUUUUUCCGGAAUUUGGACAACUUCUUACAAGAAAAAAAAAUCAAUUCCGAUGCGGCAGUCCAAACCGCCUUCAAAGAGUUUAUUGAUUCUCGCCCCCGUGGUCUUUUUAGUAAAGGAAUCAAUGAACUACCUAUGAGAUGGCAAAAGUACAUAGAUAACAACGGUCUAUUUUGCCAAUAUAAAAGAAAAUAAGGGCAGUGAAUAAGAAAUAUGUUUAUUGCAAAUAUAUUUUUAACUGGAUUGCAAAAAAAGGAGGACAAUGUUUUUCGAAUUUGUAUAUUUCUUCGGAUUUUAAUAAAUGUAAUGUCAUAAGAUUAAUCUUAAUUAUUAUCGUGUAAUAUUACUUACCUUUUUAGUGACUAGAAUUUGUUUUUAUUGUUAGCUUUUGUAAUAUCUGUGUAUGUUACUAAAUACUUUUAUAUAAAUACUUUUUUUCUUUCUUUAGGUGACAGUAUGGAAAAAUCUCUACAAAAUUGAUUAGAUAUUAUUCUUAAAUUUACUGACAAUAUGGAGACGUAGCAUAAUUGCAUGGUUUACAAUAAUGAUUAUGGUCCUUUAUUACAAAGAUGUAUUGCAAUAAUUUAUUUAUUACAUUGUAUUAUUAAAGUAUAAAAACUCUUACAUCUUACAGUGUGGUAUUAGCAUUUACUUAUAGUAAAUAGGUAUUCACUAUAUUUAUAAGGUCAUCAGAGUAUUUUGACUCGUAGGCACGUUUCCGUAUUAUCAAUUUUGGCAUGUAUCGAAAGGUCAAGUAUAUUUAAGUACCUUGAUCCUUUCCUUAAAAUAUGCAUUUUAAUGUCAGAUUAAUUAUAUCUCAACAAUAAGAAUUACGCCAAGGUCUUUUAUUGUCUGAAGAUGACUUAUAUGAAGUACCUACAUAAUUAACUACUAGUAUUUAUCAGGAAUAUCAUUAAAUAUUGUGCUACAUAUACCUACGAUUCAUGGUUAAUUCGUUCCAUGUUUUGUUUGUGUAAUUGUUGGAUUUUUUAUUCAAUGAGAAGUUCUAACCUAUAAAGUUACCGUAUAAAUAAAAAUCUAACUAUAUGUAUUUAAGUCGUAAGUUUCAAUAGGUAAUAAUACAAGGGUAUGACUUUUCUUAAAUAUUUCGAUUAAAUUAAAAUAAAUUUAAUUUAUUACCUAUAUCUUUUAUAUGUUAGAAUUUAUCUGACAUAAAAAGAAAUAAAUUAAUAAAUAAAAACUUUGGAAAAACAGCGUU